UUCAUUCUUUAUUAUUGUAGGGAGCCAUCACAAAAAGAAUGACAGCAAUCGAAGAAAUGGCAGGCAUGGCUGUACUUUGCAGUGACAAAACAGGAACUCUAACAUUGAACUGACUGACUGUUGACAAAAGUAUUAUUGAGGUCUUUGCUAGAGGAGUAGAUGGAGAGGCUGUAGUUUUGAUGGCUGCUAGAGCCUCAAGAGUGGAAAACCAAGAUGCAAUAGACGCUGCUAUUGUCGGGACGUUGGCUGAUCCAAAAGAGGCACAGGCUGGCAUUCAAGAGGUUCACUUCCUUCCAUUUAACCCCACUGAUAAGCGAAUAGCUCUGA
Camellia sinensis is the source of this 327-nucleotide non-coding RNA. NCBI's taxonomy places the organism in Eukaryota, Viridiplantae, Streptophyta, Magnoliopsida, Ericales, Theaceae. The record is from RefSeq and is a predicted model, not a curated record.